CCUACGGGAGGCAGCAGUGAGGAAUAUUGGUCAAUGGACGAGAGUCUGAACCAGCCAAGUAGCGUGAAGGAUGACUGCCCUAUGGGUUGUAAACUUCUUUUAUAUGGGAAUAAAACGUUCCACGUGUGGGAUUUUGUAUGUACCAUAUGAAUAAGGAUCGGCUAACUCCGUGCCAGCAGCCGCGGUAAUACGGAGGAUCCGAGCGUUAUCCGGAUUUAUUGGGUUUAAAGGGAGCGUAGGUGGAUUGAUAAGUCAGUUGUGAAAGUUUGCGGCUCAACCGUAAAAUUGCAGUUGAAACUGGCAGUCUUGAGUACAGGAGAGGUGGGCGGAAUUCGUGGUGUAGCGGUGAAAUGCUUAGAUAUCACGAAGAACUCCGAUUGCGAAGGCAGUUCACUGGACUGCAACUGACACUGAGGCUCGAAAGUGUGGGUAUCAAACAGGAUUAGAUACCCGGGUAGUC
This 460-nucleotide ribosomal RNA is filed under the name uncultured bacterium. Its description in RNAcentral is "partial 16S ribosomal RNA". It matches the Rfam family "Bacterial small subunit ribosomal RNA", at positions 338 to 795 of the family's 1533-position model. The record is from RNAcentral.